GAUGAACGCUGGCGGCGUGCCUAAUACAUGCAAGUCGAGCGAACGGACGAGAAGCUUGCUUUUCUGAUGUUAGCGGCGGACGGGUGAGUAACACGUGGAUAACCUACCUAUAAGACUGGGAUAACUUCGGGAAACCGGAGCUAAUACCGGAUAAUAUUUUGAACCGCAUGGUUCAAAAGUGAAAGACGGUCUUGCUGUCACUUAUAGAUGGAUCCGCGCUGCAUUAGCUAGUUGGUAAGGUAACGGCUUACCAAGGCAACGAUGCAUAGCCGACCUGAGAGGGUGAUCGGCCACACUGGAACUGAGACACGGUCCAGACUCCUACGGGAGGCAGCAGUAGGGAAUCUUCCGCAAUGGGCGAAAGCCUGACGGAGCAACGCCGCGUGAGUGAUGAAGGUCUUCGGAUCGUAAAACUCUGUUAUUAGGGAAGAACAUAUGUGUAAGUAACUGUGCAUAUCUUGACGGUACCUAAUCAGAAAGCCACGGCUAACUACGUG
RNAcentral lists this ribosomal RNA (497 nucleotides) under uncultured bacterium. RNAcentral's name for it is "partial 16S ribosomal RNA". It matches the Rfam family "Bacterial small subunit ribosomal RNA", at positions 28 to 507 of the family's 1533-position model. The record is from RNAcentral.